GGGCAAUUAGCUCAGUUGGUAGAGCGUUCGCUUUGCAUGCCUCAGAGUGCGAAAGGUCGUGAUUUCGAUUAUCACAUUGUCCA
Molecule: transfer RNA, 83 nt
Rfam family: tRNA
About the family: Transfer RNA (tRNA) molecules are approximately 80 nucleotides in length. Their secondary structure includes four short double-helical elements and three loops (D, anti-codon, and T loops).
Source: Rfam